GUCAAGAUGUUCACUCAUUUCAAUAUACUGUCUAGUUACAUGUAUAGUACGAUUACCAUAUGGAACCCACGAAAUUGGUAAAGAGAAAAAAAACAUUAUCACAGCAAUGAACACCAGAAUUCCUUCUACGGAGGGCACAGUAUUGCCUCUAUACCUAGCUACCUCCUUGUAAGUAUGGAUAUUACCUGGCACUGAGAGGUCAGAAACAGAGGAGGAAAAUAAAGAGGGUGAAUUUGCUGGUUUUCAUCCCAGCAGGAAAAGGGAAAGAAUAGGAGGGGAAAAAAAGGGAUGUGAGGCCAGAGGAGAGGUGAGAUAAAGCUCCCCUUCCACUCAAGACCACAUGAUGCUGAAACAGACUAGGAACGUUCCUUCCUGGCCCUCUGUGGGAACAGUUGUGCUGCCCGGUGUGCCACUCCUCUACUUCCCUUCAGAAACCUCCACUGAAGUCUAUGAUAUUUUCUUUGUGUGUUUUUGUCUUUCACAGAAGUCAAACAGAAGCCUAUAUUGGUGUGGGGCAAACAGAUCAGUGGUGUGGAACUUCUGGGGGUUCAGAGAAGGCCAGCCUUCCUAGAAACCAAGAGAAACCUCGAUGGAAGAGGGGAGGCUUUGGGCUUGCACAGGCCGUGGCUCUGUGGGAUGUGAGUCUACUUGGUCCACAUUAUAAAGGGCUGGCAAAUGUUACCUAACAACCAGGAUACACGCUCAACAAGAAGACCAAAGAAGACGUGGAAGUCAGACUAGCUAGUAUUAGGAAGGUGAGAUUACCACUGUUGUUUCCAUGGAGACUCUCUUUGUUAUAGGUCAUAAUACAAGAAAGGUUUUAAAAUGAGGAAAAUAUCUAUAAUCUGGAGAGGAUCCUCACUUACAAUGGGGUCACAGCUGGAUAAACUCAUUAUAAAUUGAAAAGACAUACUACUCCCCGGCUGUACUCUAUACCCCACAGAACUGCUGCAGCCUGAGCCCUACUGAAUUUGGUGCUGCUCUUCUUGACCAACUUACAAGUAAUCCAAAGUUUACAGCAUUCCCAUCAGCAACGCUGAAGGCCUCCAACCUCAGUGAUGCUGAAAGCCUGCAGAAAAACUGUACCUACUGCCCCGGAAUCCUAGAAGCUAAUGGACAGAAUCUAACAGGAGCUAGGGGAGCCACAGGCCUGGCCACUGCUCCAUGCCAACAAUGUGACAUAGCAGAUCAGCAACAACGUGUGGUGCUGGAACAGAGCCUAGAAUCAUCACCAGCCUUUAGACAGAAAAGAUAUACAGGCAGCGGCACCACUGAGCUAAAUCCUCGGCCCUGUUGUUUUUUUAACAAGAAGAUUCAAAUGUGUUUGAGGCAAAGAAAGCCUGAGGAUCACAGAAAGGGGAGGAAAAACUGGAGUGAAG
Long non-coding RNA from Fukomys damarensis (Damara mole-rat), 1379 nucleotides. RefSeq lists it as uncharacterized. The record is from RefSeq and is a predicted model, not a curated record. Lineage: Eukaryota; Metazoa; Chordata; Mammalia; Rodentia; Bathyergidae. The transcript has 4 exons.